CAAUAUAUUUUUCUUAGCUAUUCAUCUUUAAUUUAAUGCAAAAUAUACAAUAUAAAUUAUUUAGUAUUUGUACUUAGACAUGCAAAACAAAUUCGUAUGAUUACGCUCCUAAACCCUAUGCUUCCUAUACUCUAAAUAUGGCACAAACAAAGAGCCCAUCAUCUAAUUAGAAGUAAAACAAUUAAAUAAUUUUUAGCCCAAACAAUGAGCCCAACAACUAAAUAGAAGUGAAACCUUACUAUUUCAAAAUCAUGUUUCAGAUAUUAGAUAGGGUAGCGGCGCCUUUGUCACUAUCGGUCUCACUGUUCUCGGCUGGCAAUGGCGGCGCCGGUGAGCGGCGCCGGCCGCCUAUCGUUCUUCUUUCUCUCCUUCUCGCGGUUCCACCUCUCGGCCACCGGCUUGAGGACUCCUCCACGCCACCCAACUGCCAUCGCCGGUCACCAACCCCUCUCUCUCUCGUAACUCUGAGGUAUUGGGCUUGUCGGCGUACGAGUCCAGCCGCCACCGCCGUCGGCCCUCCUGUACCGCCACCGUUGGUCACUAAAAGUUAAAUUUAAGAUCAACAUAUUUCAGGCUGGAGGAUCAUGAAAGGAGGAGGGAGAGCAUGAAAAACAGGAAAUUUCAAGAACUUUUGCAGUUUCAUGAGAUGAUUACUAGAGAGGCUUCGGGCCAUGGAAGCGACAACCAUGGAGGAGGUGUUAGUGUUAUUAAAACUGAGUUUUAUCCCCGCAUUUCCCUACCCAGUACUGCAAAAGCUGCAUAAGUUGGUCACUAUGUUCUAAGCUUCAGUUUUUCUUCUAUUGUUGCUUUUCAAUAUGAAUCUUAUGAGAUGGGAAAUUCUACAUUCGAAUAUGGUUGCUCUA
Long non-coding RNA from Salvia splendens (bonfire salvia), 863 nucleotides. RefSeq lists it as uncharacterized. NCBI's taxonomy places the organism in Eukaryota, Viridiplantae, Streptophyta, Magnoliopsida, Lamiales, Lamiaceae. The record is from RefSeq and is a predicted model, not a curated record. The transcript has 2 exons.